RNAcentral lists this unclassified non-coding RNA (635 nucleotides) under Arthroderma silverae. Its description in RNAcentral is "sequence contains ITS1, 5.8S rRNA gene, ITS2". The stretch from base 257 to 410 matches the Rfam family "5.8S ribosomal RNA". The record is from RNAcentral. Lineage: Eukaryota; Fungi; Ascomycota; Eurotiomycetes; Onygenales; Arthrodermataceae.
UCAUUAAAGCGUUGUCUAGGUGGAGCCCGGCCGUUUCGGAUUGAAAUAUAUUCGAGGCGGUGUCUAGGUGUUCCCUGGCAGUUGCCCAUUCUUGUCUACUGACCCAGUUGCCUCGGCGGGCCGAGCCGUUCGCGGCCGGCCGGUGGGAGUUUCGGUUCGCCCAGCGUGGGCCGCCGCUUCCUCGGGCCUGUGCCCGCCGAUGGACAUUUAAAAAUCUAAUAUUUUGAACGUCUGAGCAUAAAGCAAAAUCUUUUAAAACUUUCAACAACGGAUCUCUUGGUUCCGGCAUCGAUGAAGAACGCAGCGAAAUGCGAUAAGUAAUGUGAAUUGCAGAAUUCCGUGAAUCAUCGAAUCUUUGAACGCACAUUGCGCCCUCUGGUAUUCCGGAGGGCAUGCCUGUUCGAGCGUCAUUGCAACCCUCAAGCUCGGCUUGUGUGAUGGGCGACCGUCCUUCCCCUAGGGGCGGGACGCGUCCGAAAAGCAGUGGCUAGGCCGCGACUCCGGCGCCUGAGCGAAUGGGAUUUCCAACGCUUAUAGGACCGGCCGGUUUUUUGGCCUUAUAAUCUAGAUCUUUAUUGAUCUAUCUAGGUUGACCUCGGAUCAGGUAGGGAUACCCGCUGAACUUAAGCAUAUCA